Molecule: ribosomal RNA, 776 nt
Filed under: Halodesulfovibrio marinisediminis DSM 17456
Lineage: Bacteria; Pseudomonadati; Thermodesulfobacteriota; Desulfovibrionia; Desulfovibrionales; Desulfovibrionaceae
Description: bacterial LSU rRNA
Rfam family: Bacterial large subunit ribosomal RNA
Source: RNAcentral
CCGUAGAGGGUGAAAGUCCCGUAUCUGAAGUCGAAAAUGACACUGACUGUUCCUGAGUACCGCGGAACACGUGAAACUCCGUGGGAAUCUGGGAGGACCAUCUUCCAAGGCUAAGUACUACCUAGUGACCGAUAGUGAACCAGUACCGUGAGGGAAAGGUGAAAAGAACCCCUGUUAGGGGAGUGAAAUAGAACCUGAAACCAGUUGCCUACAAGCUGUGGGAGCAUCCUUGAGAUGUGACCGCGUGCCUUUUGCAUAAUGAGUCAGCGAGUUAAUCUACUGUGCAAGGUUAAGCGAAAGUGGAGCCGUAGCGAAAGCGAGUCUGAUAAGGGCGACAAGUACAGUGGAUUAGACCCGAAACCAGGUGAUCUAUCCAUGAGCAGGUUGAAGCUCAGGUAAAACUGAGUGGAGGACCGAACCAGUAUCGGUUGAAAACGAUUUGGAUGACUUGUGGAUAGGGGUGAAAGGCCAAUCAAACCUGGUGAUAGCUGGUUCUCUCCGAAAUAUAUUGAGGUAUAGCCUCGAGGUAGUUUAACGGGGGUAGAGCACUGACAGGGCUAGGGGGCUCACCAGCUUACCAAACCCUAUCAAACUCCGAAUACCGUAUAAAUGAUCCUCGGGAGUCAGACUGCGACUGAGAAGGGCCGUAGUCGAAAGGGAAACAGCCCAGACCGACAGCUAAGGUCUCCAAAUCCAUGCUCAGUGGAAAAGGCGGUGGAAUUUCCUAGACAGCCAGGAGGUUGGCUUAGAAGCAGCCAUCCUUUAAAGAAAGCGUA